Non-coding RNA from Acanthosepion pharaonis, 98 nucleotides. NCBI's taxonomy places the organism in Eukaryota, Metazoa, Mollusca, Cephalopoda, Sepiida, Sepiidae. The record is from the annotation of a GenBank genome assembly.
GGCCACACACAUUGAAACAUUGGUUCCCAUAUGAUCACCAAAGUUAAGCCUGAUCAGUACUUAGAUAGGUGACCGCUUGGGAAUAACAGGUGUUGUAA